This 379-nucleotide ribosomal RNA is filed under the name uncultured eukaryote. RNAcentral's name for it is "partial 18S ribosomal RNA". It matches the Rfam family "Eukaryotic small subunit ribosomal RNA", at positions 592 to 975 of the family's 1831-position model. The record is from RNAcentral.
CAAUAGCGUAUAUUAAAGUUGUUGCUGUUAAAAAGCUCGUAGUUGGAUUUCUGCCGAGGACGACCGGUCCGCCCUCUGGGUGAGUAUCUGGCUCGGCCUGGGCAUCUUCUUGGAGAACGUAGCUGCACUUGACUGUGUGGUGCGGUAUCCAGGACUUUUACUUUGAGGAAAUUAGAGUGUUUCAAGCAGGCUUACGCCUUGAAUACAUUAGCAUGGAAUAAUAAGAUAGGACCUCGGUUCUAUUUUGUUGGUUUCUAGAGCUGAGGUAAUGAUUAAUAGGGAUAGUUGGGGGCAUUCGUAUUUAACUGUCAGAGGUGAAAUUCUUGCAUUUGUUAAAGAUGGACUACUGCGAAAGCAUUUGCCAAGGAUGUUUUCAUUG